This 446-nucleotide ribosomal RNA is filed under the name uncultured bacterium. RNAcentral describes it as "partial 16S ribosomal RNA". It matches the Rfam family "Bacterial small subunit ribosomal RNA", at positions 338 to 795 of the family's 1533-position model. The record is from RNAcentral.
CCUACGGGGGGCUGCAGUCGAGAAUCAUUCACAAUGGGGGAAACCCUGAUGGUGCGACGCCGCGUGGGGGAAUGAAGGUCUUCGGAUUGUAAACCCCUGUCAUGUGGGAGCAAAUUAAAAAGAUAGUACCACAAGAGGAAGAGACGGCUAACUCUGUGCCAGCAGCCGCGGUAAUACAGAGGUCUCAAGCGUUGUUCGGAAUCACUGGGCGUAAGGCGUGCGUAGGCUGUUUCGUAAGUCGUGUGUGAAAGGCGCGGGCUCAACCCGCGGACGGCACAUAAUACUGCGAGACUAGAGUAAUGGAGGGGGAACCGGAAUUCUCGGUGUAGCAGUGAAAUGCGUAGAUAUCGAGAGGAACACUCGUGGCGAAGGCGAGUUCCUGGACAUUAACUGACGCUGAGGCACGAAGGCCAGGGGAGCGAAAGGGAUUAGAUACCCGGGUAGUC